GACGAACGCUGGCGGCGUGCUUAACACAUGCAAGUCGAACGGAAAGGCCCUGCUUUUGUGGGGUGCUCGAGUGGCGAACGGGUGAGUAACACGUGAGUAACCUGCCCUUGACUUUGGGAUAACUUCAGGAAACUGGGGCUAAUACCGGAUAGGAGCUCCUGCUGCAUGGUGGGGGUUGGAAAGUUUCGGCGGUUGGGGAUGGACUCGCGGCUUAUCAGCUUGUUGGUGGGGUAGUGGCUUACCAAGGCUUUGACGGGUAGCCGGCCUGAGAGGGUGACCGGCCACAUUGGGACUGAGAUAGGGCCCGGACUCCUACGGGGGGCAGCAGGGGGGAAUAUUGCAAAAUGGGCGGAAGCCUGAUGCAGCAACGCCGCGUGCGGGAUGACGGCCUUCGGUUUGUAAACCGCUUUCGCCUGUGACGAAGCGUGAGUGACGGUAAUGGGUAAAGAAGCACCGGCUAACUACGUG
This 468-nucleotide ribosomal RNA is filed under the name uncultured bacterium. RNAcentral's name for it is "partial 16S ribosomal RNA". It matches the Rfam family "Bacterial small subunit ribosomal RNA", at positions 28 to 507 of the family's 1533-position model. The record is from RNAcentral.